This is a non-coding RNA of Salmo salar (Atlantic salmon), 2144 nucleotides long. The record is from RefSeq and is a predicted model, not a curated record. Lineage: Eukaryota; Metazoa; Chordata; Actinopteri; Salmoniformes; Salmonidae.
UGAACAGUGCUUCCUGAAUGGUGGGUCCAAUUUGAAGACUGGAUUGUUAUGGCUAGAACUGUUGUCUUUAUCUAAUGAAAAAUAAACAAUUUAACACCAAAAAUCUAAAUUCAAAUGUCAGGCCAGGCAUUGUUUAACAAAAACCAACAGCAUGGUUUUAGAGACCAAUAGACCGGUAUCUGUUCCAGUACCGGUUUGACUCUGUCCUGGGAGUCAGACGAAAGGUCGUUGAAGGUGUAGUGAGCCUGAGUCCUCCUACACAACAACACGGCCGCCGCACCCGCAGGACGAAGCACACACAGACGAGCAUGUGAUAGAUGGGUGUGCCGGAAACCCAGUGACAACACUUGGGUCUGCAGCUGCCAUUUUCCGGUGGGAAAGAUAAUUGGUAGCUCAUCCACCAUGGCAAAAGCGGAAGAUCCCGACACAUCCACCAUGACAGAAGAAGAAGAUCCAGACACAUCCAUCAUGACAGAAGAGGAAGAUCCAGACACAUCCACCAUGACAGAAGAGGAAGAUCCAGACACAUCCACCAUGACAGAAGAAGAAGAUCCAGACACAUCCAUCAUGACAGAAGAGGAAGAUCCAGACACAUCCACCAUGACAGAAGAGGAAGAUCCAGACACAUCCACCAUGACAGAAGAAGAAGAUCCAGACACAUCCAUCAUGACAGAAGAGGAAGAUCCAGACAUAUCCAUCAUGACAGAAGAGGAAGAUCCAGACACAUCCACCAUGACAGAAGAGGAAGAUCCAGACACAUCCAUCAUGACAGAAGAGGAAGAUCCAGACACAUCCAUCAUGACAGAAGAGAAAGAUCCAGACACAUCCACCAUGACAGAAGAUGAAGUUCCAGGCCCCUCGGCAGGCUGAAGAAUGUAGGAGGCUGCUGUCUGCACAGUUGCAGAAUGUUCUCACUGAGGUGCAUCUUGAGGAAACAUUAAGUCAGUUGAAGGUUCUACAGGAGAAUCAGCUGAAUACCUGCAACAGGAAUUCAGCAUCGCAGCUGUCUGAUAAAGUACUUAGGAUGGAAACAGGACUUCCAGACAAAGACAUUUUCAACAUGGUUGUUGAUUACUUGGAACAUCACAAGGACUGCGUCGUCUACUUUGCAAAGUGGAGUGUCGAGAUGCUGUCAUUUUAGGUCAAGUGCUUAUGGAGCUUAGGAAGUUGCGCCACAGAUACACCAACUUGCACCUUACUCAACUAUUCCAUUGUAGUGCAAGCACUCUCAGCAAUGUUACCAUCACUUUCAUUCAUGUCAUCCACAAUCCUUUUUCCAUUAGCAUCAUGAAGACUGUUCCAAAUCAGGAGAAGAAUCAAACGUGCUUGCCUGCAUCGUUUCAUGGGUCCAGCAGAAACUGCUGGAUUGUCAUUGACGGUAUUGACAUAGAAGUUGCAACUCCAAGUCAGAUGGAUCUACAGAAACAAACCUACUCUGUGUACCGUUCAAUGCACUCCUUCAAGCUACUCCUGGGUGUUGCACCUAAUGUGAUGAUAACAUACUGCAGUGAUCUGUAUCCAGGAUCUGUGUCGGACGAAGCCAUUGUCCAGAAGUUAAGGUUUGAGAAGAUCUUCAUGUCUGGAGACGUGAUCCUGGCAGACAAAGGCUUCUUGAUCCAGAGCUCGAUGCCUGCAGGAGUCACUGUAAACAUUCCCCCAUUCCUGAACCACAGAGGGUUCACAGACAGUGAAAUACAUCUCACAAAAGACAUAGCGAGAAACAAGAUCCAUGUUGAGAGGGCAAAUGCUUGACAAAAAUAUUCAAAAAUCCUGAGAUCCAUCCCACCUUAUCUAUGUUGUUAUAGUAAUGUGCUGGUGUAGACUUGCUGUGCACUUGUAAACCUCCAAGACCGACUCAUCAGAGAAGUAGCUGUUGAUUGGGAAACAAGAACAAACAAUGAGGCAUGAGGAUGGGUGUUGAGGGACCACUUCUCACAUUGUCCAAUUCCAACAGGAGUGCAUCCCUCUGGCCUUCCGGUGCAUUGACAUCCUGUGCCAGUGUGAUCCGAGCACAAGAGUCCAGUUGUAGAGAUUACAGCAGAACGAGCCUGUGGAUGGACAGGUAAGUAUCUCAUCAAAUGUGAUACAAUAUUGUGUAGAACAGUGAAUUUGAAGAUAUAUCUGUGCAGUAUGUUUGUCAUUAG